Long non-coding RNA from Neogale vison (American mink), 208 nucleotides. RefSeq lists it as uncharacterized. The record is from RefSeq and is a predicted model, not a curated record. The transcript has 2 exons. NCBI's taxonomy places the organism in Eukaryota, Metazoa, Chordata, Mammalia, Carnivora, Mustelidae.
GGUUAUUGAAUUCAUUGGAGAACGAGUGCUGUCCUAAAUUUGCUAACCCAGUUAUUUCUGGGAAAUACUACAAGAUGUCCGUCUCAUAAAGUGAUGGUGGGAGGCCUAGUAGGCAAAGUAGAAGAGAAGCACAGGAGUCUGCAUGAAAGAAGCCUCAGUAGGAGAGUCAAUGGCUCUCAGUGUGAAUAAAAAUAAUUCAUAUUUUGUA